RNAcentral lists this ribosomal RNA (295 nucleotides) under uncultured bacterium. Its description in RNAcentral is "partial 16S ribosomal RNA". It matches the Rfam family "Bacterial small subunit ribosomal RNA", at positions 28 to 334 of the family's 1533-position model. The record is from RNAcentral.
GAUGAACGCUAGCGGCAGGCUUAAUACAUGCAAGGCGAGGGGACAGCAAUGUCACCGCCGUACGGGUGCGUAACGCGUAUGCAACCUACCUUCAACUGGGGGAUAGCCCGGGGAAACCCGGAUUAAUACCGCAUAAUACAGGGGGCCCACAUGGGUCUAUUUGUUAAAGAUUUAUUGGCUGAAGAUGGGCAUGCGUUCGAUUAGCUAGUUGGUACGGGUAGCGGCCUACCAAGGCGACGAUCGAUAGGGGAGCUGAGAGGUUGAUCCCCCACACGGGCACUGAGAUACGGGCCCG